GUAGAUUUUUCAACUUGAAAACAUUGCCGCAUACAAUGCUCAUUUCCACAUCUCUGGCAAUUUUUGUCUUUUGCAGCGCAAGCACCUCCUGCAAAUAGGAGGGAAGUCACUGCGCGAGGUGGCAUCGUAUGCCAUGAAGGCUGUAAUGGCACACCCCGUCCAAGUGCUUUACAGCCUUCAUAGCAGGAAGGGGAAGAGGGCAUUCAUCAAUUUGAAGUUAUGCCGGAUAGUCACAGAUGUCAUCUGUGCGAAAGGGGGGGGGGGGCGACCUGACACAAGCACAGGACUUCAUUAAGUGGUUGCCAGGGUCUGUGGACAGCGGUGGUGGCAGAAAGAGGCGUUUCGCAGAAACGUUUGCAGCAGAGCAGCCCGAUGAUCCGUCCCUUCGGGGCACGAAUCAUUGCCUGCCCACUGCUGCGCUCUCCCUGCCCUACCCUUGCCCUCAGGUCCCUGGCAAGUCCACCGUCGGCCCCUCCUGUCCGGCUGCUGCUGCCCCUGCUCCUUCCCCUGCUGCAGCCCCUGCCGCCCCUGCCCCUCCUCCUGCUGCUGCCCCUGGAGCUGAGCACCCCUACUGAUGCCUGCAUCAGUUCAAGAAGUGUAUUGUAAAUAGUAUACUAAAUAAAUUAUAUUUUUGUUUA
Long non-coding RNA from Dermacentor silvarum, 638 nucleotides. RefSeq lists it as uncharacterized. The transcript has 2 exons. NCBI's taxonomy places the organism in Eukaryota, Metazoa, Arthropoda, Arachnida, Ixodida, Ixodidae. The record is from RefSeq and is a predicted model, not a curated record.